Molecule: small RNA, 712 nt
Filed under: Pongo abelii (Sumatran orangutan)
Lineage: Eukaryota; Metazoa; Chordata; Mammalia; Primates; Hominidae
Description: processed transcript
Source: RNAcentral
GGGAGUCUUGACCGCCGCCGGGCUCUUGGUACCUCAGCGCGAGCGCCGGGCGUCCGGCCGCCGUGGCUAUGUUCGUGUCCGAUUUCCGCAAAGAGUUCUACGAGGUGGUCCACAGCCAGAGGGUCCUUCUCUUCGUGGCCUCGGACGUGGAUGCUCUGUGUGCGUGCAAGAUCCUUCAGGCCUUGUUCCAAUGUGACCACGUGCAAUAUACGCUGGUUCCAGUUUCUGGGUGGCAAGAACUUGAAACUGCAUUUCUUGAGCAUAAAGAACAGUUUCAUUAUUUUAUUCUCAUAAACUGUGGAGCUAAUGUAGACCUAUUGGAUAUUCUUCAACCUGAUGAAGACACUAUAUUCUUUGUGUGUGACACCCAUAGGCCAGUCAAUGUCGUCAAUGUAUACAACGAUACCCAGAUCAAAUUACUCAUUAAACAAGAUGAUGACCUUGAAGUUCCCGCCUAUGAAGACAUCUUCAGGGAUGAAGAGGAGGAUGAAGAGCAUUUAGGAAAUGACAGCGAUGGGUCAGAGCCUUCUGAGAAGCGCACACGAUUAGAAGAGGAGAUAGUGGAGCGAACCAUGCGGAGGAGGCAGCGGCGAGAGUGGGAGGCCCGGAGUGGCUCUGGGAGUGAACCUGUGGCCGCUGCAUUGGAGAAGAGCUCCAGGUUGUUCCCCGGUCCCAUGAGUGACAGGACAGCCCCAAGGUCUCCCAGAAGAGA